CAAUCAAACCGGGAGAUAGCUGGUUCUCCCCGAAAGCUAUUUAGGUAGCGCCUCGUGAAUUCAUCUCCGGGGGUAGAGCACUGUUUCGGCUAGGGGGCCAUCCCGGCUUACCAACCCGAUGCAAACUGCGAAUACCGGAGAAUGUUAUCACGGGAGACACACGGCGGGUGCUAACGUCCGUCGUGAAGAGGGAAACAACCCAGACCGCCAGCUAAGGUCCCAAAGUCAUGGUUAAGUGGGAAACGAUGUGGGAAGGCCCAGACAGCCAGGAUGUUGGCUUAGAAGCAGCCAUCAUUUAAAGAAAGCGUAAUAGCUCACUGGUCGAGUCGGCCUGCGCGGAAGAUGUAACGGGGCUAAACCAUGCACCGAAGCUGCGGCAGCGAACGUAUCACCCAAGACAACUUUACGGAGUUGACGAUUGACGGAGCGAAGCGACGUCAAAGCGUUCAUUAAAGUCGAGUUGGCUUAGGGAUACGUUCGUUGGGUAGGGGAGCGUUCUGUAAGCCUGUGAAGGUGUGUCGUGAGGCAUGCUGGAGGUAUCAGAAGUGCGAAUGCUGACAUAA
RNAcentral lists this ribosomal RNA (563 nucleotides) under Salmonella enterica subsp. enterica serovar Typhimurium. Its description in RNAcentral is "partial 23S ribosomal RNA". It matches the Rfam family "Bacterial large subunit ribosomal RNA", at positions 830 to 1305 of the family's 2925-position model. The record is from RNAcentral. Lineage: Bacteria; Pseudomonadati; Pseudomonadota; Gammaproteobacteria; Enterobacterales; Enterobacteriaceae.